AUCCUUUUUUGGUUCAUGAGCAUGAUGAUUUGGUGUUCACGCCUUUGCAUGGGCAUAUGCCUCCCUAAAACCUUGUUUCAAGAACCCUGGCACAUUAUUUGUCUGGUG
Molecule: small nucleolar RNA, 108 nt
Organism: Nannospalax galili (Upper Galilee mountains blind mole rat)
Lineage: Eukaryota; Metazoa; Chordata; Mammalia; Rodentia; Spalacidae
Product: small nucleolar RNA U13
Exons: 1
Source: RefSeq, a predicted model, not a curated record